UCCCCCAUGGCGCAAUUGGCAGCGCGUCAGACUGUUAUCUCUUCCAAGAGGCACAUCUGGAGGCUGUAAGUUCGAACCUUACUGUGGAGAU
Non-coding RNA from Podospora aff. communis PSN243, 91 nucleotides. The record is from the annotation of a GenBank genome assembly. NCBI's taxonomy places the organism in Eukaryota, Fungi, Ascomycota, Sordariomycetes, Sordariales, Podosporaceae.